Long non-coding RNA from Triticum dicoccoides, 767 nucleotides. RefSeq lists it as uncharacterized. The record is from RefSeq and is a predicted model, not a curated record. The transcript is spliced from 3 exons. Lineage: Eukaryota; Viridiplantae; Streptophyta; Magnoliopsida; Poales; Poaceae.
CCCACAAGCUCGGAUCAUGCCGUGUCAAAAGCUAACUAAACAAGCUAAAAGAAGGUACUGAAGAGAUAAGAGAAACUAAAGAAAAAAUUGCAGACACAUUGAGGUUAACAUCAACAUCCACAAGCACGAAUCAUCCGCCAGGAAAACAGCAAGCAACACCAGCCCUUCGUCAACUCUACUGCUGUACGUACUGAAGUUCAUUUGUUUCACUUCUUUUUUUUAUAGCCAUGAAACAGCCUUGGUACGUUACUCAUUUUAGAUUCUUAGAUAUCUCUGCACAUGCUUCCAUGUGGUAGCCAUUGCUGUUUCAUUUCAUAAAAGUUACCAUAUUCGAGCAUUCUUAUAUGCAUAUUUGUUUCCUAGAUCUGUCAACACGAGUGUCUCCCUAAGGUCCUAAAACAUUUAUGGUGAAUUAUGUAUUUCAACAAAAUCAUUCUGCGAAAAAAGCCCAUGUAGAAUGAUGGGUGGCGCUGCACCGAUAACAAUACUUACCGCUACAACACUUUGCCUCCUUGCCCAAUAACCCAAGAUCCUCACCAAGGUACACUUUGCCUUUUAAUCUAGAAAAGUGAUAGAAGUAGUUUAGGUUUUGUGACAGAUUUAGCAAGUGUGAAUUUCAUAUCACUGUGACAGAUUUAGUAAGUGUGAAUUUCAGACUGGUGUAUGUGUGAAUGAGAGAAUCUUUGACGUGGAUUCAGAUUAGUGUGGGAGUUCCUUGACUCUCCAUGUUGUGUAAAUAAUAGUUUUCUUAGCUAGAUGAUGAUGGU